Molecule: ribosomal RNA, 53 nt
Filed under: uncultured eukaryote
Lineage: Eukaryota
Description: partial 5.8S ribosomal RNA
Rfam family: 5.8S ribosomal RNA
About the family: 5.8S ribosomal RNA (5.8S rRNA) is a component of the large subunit of the eukaryotic ribosome. It is transcribed by RNA polymerase I as part of the 45S precursor that also contains 18S and 28S rRNA.
Source: RNAcentral
CAAAACUUUCAACAACGGAUCUCUUGGUUCUCGCAUCGAUGAAGACCGCAGCU